AGCUUACUCCUUGCGUGCAGCCGCGGUAAGACUGAUGUGUGACGUGUUGUCCUGAUGUAUUGGGCGUACAGCGAUCGCAUGCGGUUCCUUCAGUCUGAUGUGAAAGCUCACGGCGCAACCUGGGAAGGUCAUUGGAAACUGGGGAACUUGAGUGCAGAAGGGGAGAGUGGUAUUCCAUGUGUAGCGGUGCAAGGCGUAGAUAUCUGGAGGAACACCGGUGGCGAAGGCGGCCCCCUGGACAAAGACUGACGCUCAGGUGCGAAAGCGUGGGGAGCAAACAGGAUUAGAUACCUGGUAGUC
This 300-nucleotide ribosomal RNA is filed under the name uncultured Lactobacillus sp. RNAcentral's name for it is "bacterial SSU rRNA". It matches the Rfam family "Bacterial small subunit ribosomal RNA", at positions 495 to 795 of the family's 1533-position model. The record is from RNAcentral. Lineage: Bacteria; Bacillati; Bacillota; Bacilli; Lactobacillales; Lactobacillaceae.